CAAGCAACUUGCCCUAGCAGAUGGAGAGGC
This 30-nucleotide non-coding RNA is filed under the name Homo sapiens (human). Lineage: Eukaryota; Metazoa; Chordata; Mammalia; Primates; Hominidae. The record is from RNAcentral.